CUGAACUGGAAGACCAAGAGACCAAGACUCUGCUUUUCACUGCAGCGAACCCCAGCAGAACAGGGAUUGUUACUGCUGUGUCCUUGCCUGCAGUGCCAGUACCUCACUGCUCAGCGAGUGAGAUCCUCCUACACUCUCCCUCACACAUCUCCUCCUUGCCUUCAGGCCUUCCUCUUCAGGGUUGUUUUGCCAUCGCACUGCUGCUUUUUCUUGCUCAAGCUCCUACUUGGUGUACUGCCCUGUGCUCACGUGGCCUGCAGCUUCCUCCUCUGCUGGUAGCAUUCAGCGCU
RNAcentral lists this long non-coding RNA (290 nucleotides) under Gallus gallus (chicken). The record is from RNAcentral. Lineage: Eukaryota; Metazoa; Chordata; Aves; Galliformes; Phasianidae.